Molecule: non-coding RNA, 88 nt
Filed under: Paenalicyclobacillus macrosporangiidus
Lineage: Bacteria; Bacillati; Bacillota; Bacilli; Caryophanales; Alicyclobacillaceae
Description: Alicyclobacillus macrosporangiidus c-di-GMP sequence
Rfam family: c-di-GMP-I riboswitch aptamer
About the family: GEMM was predicted in a large-scale screen for bacterial structured RNA regulatory elements. Genes associated with GEMM are involved in a diverse array of functions, including chemotaxis regulation, signal transduction, secretion and chitin.
Source: Rfam by way of RNAcentral
ACCGCAUCAGGGCAAAUCAACGGAAACGUUGAGACGCAAAGCCACGGGUCUACGGACGCGCGCCGUCUAUGAUCGCCGGGUUGCCGCA